UACAGAGGGUGCGAGCGUUAAUCGGAAUUACUGGGCGUAAAGCGUGCGUAGACGGUCAAGUAAGUCGGGUGUGAAAGCCCCGGGCUCAACCUGGGAAUUGCAUUCGAGACUGCGUGGCUAGGGUGCGGAAGAGGGAAGCGGAAUUUCCGGUGUAGCGGUGAAAUGCGUAGAUAAUCGGAAGGAACACCAGUGGCGAAAGCGGCUUCCUGGUCCAGCACCGACGUUCAGGCACGAAAGCGUGGGGAGCAAACAGG
RNAcentral lists this ribosomal RNA (254 nucleotides) under uncultured bacterium. Its description in RNAcentral is "partial 16S ribosomal RNA". It matches the Rfam family "Bacterial small subunit ribosomal RNA", at positions 524 to 776 of the family's 1533-position model. The record is from RNAcentral.